ACAGAUUGCACUCAUCCAAGAUGGCGUCGUUUUCAGAAAGUGACGCGAAAACCGAAAGACUUAUCGCCGAUACAAGUGAGGGAGAAACAGCACUUGCAGCAGCACAGGAUUAUCAACCUGUGGACGUUCCAAUUCAACAAACAGAACAGUCCAAGGAUGACAAUACUACCCAGAAACAAUCAACAUCAAAAGAAUCGGAAAUUGAACCAGCUACUGAAAAGAAGUCUAUAGCUGAUUCAAGUCAAAUGAAAGGAAGUACCCCUGUGGCAAUUCUUGGCAACAUUGUGGACUACCCAAUCACUCCUGAAAGCUCAGAAGAUGACCAAUUGGAGGUAGAUUCGGUUAGUCUGGUAAACAAGGAGAAAGAAACAGAAGCACAGGCACAAAAUGAAGAAAAUACAUGUGAAGACACUAAACCUGACAGUGUCGAAGGACAACAAUCUAAAGAGGAGUCUGUAGAACAUAGUGUUGAACCAAACCAAGAAACGUCAGUUGCUGAUAAAGUGUCUGAGAGUAUAGAAACAACAGAAACUAGUGAGGAAGUUUCAGCAGGUGAUACUGUGAGUAAAUAUGUUAAUUCUGAUAGUGACAGUCAUGAGGCAGAGCCUGCAAAAGAUGAUAAAUCAGGCUCUAAAGAUGAUUCAGAGAAAGUUUCCGAGAGUACAGAACAAACACCAAGUUGUGAGAAAGAGGAGGAAAAAGAAUCUGAAAUGAAGGCUUCAAGUGUACAUGGUGACAAUGAAGUUGAUGAUCUUGAAGAAGUUUUACUGGUUGAGGAGCCAGUGGAAAGACGGAAAGCUGGACCAGAGCUGGAAACUGAAACAGCAGUAGACGAUGCAGAGACAGCUUCUCAAGGUAGUGCAGAGUUUCAACCCCAAAUAGAUGAGAAAACUGAAUCAGAAGUAAUGGAUGACAGCAAGAAUGAGGUGUCUUUAGUUCCCGAAAGUGAAGGUAAAUCUGACAUCGACAAAGAAACUCUUCUGGACACCAAGCCUGAGUGUAUGGAUGUGGAUGGUGAUGAAUCCAACCAGGAUGUAACCAUGGAAACAGAAGCUGUGGCAGCUCCAGCAGCAGGAACUGAUGCAGAGGAUGGAGACUCUCUGUUACCUGACACAGAUGGGGAGGUAAAGAGACCAGUGUCAAAGCCAAGUAGCUUUCCUAUUACUGAAGCCUUCCUGGACGAAAACAGUCUCAGUCUUGACUGUGUGUUGGCCAUCAGUAGCACGGUGCCUGAGGGGGAGACUUCUGUGGACAUUUCACUGGGGGGGAGCAUCAAUGCAUACAGUAAGGAUAGUAAGGACUGUCCCACCCCGGCCAAGAGAUCACGCCCAGGCAGUGUGAUGAGUGGGGUAGAGCCAGAUCCAGACUUGGAUGAUGAUGGCAACUUCCCAGCUGAGAGCUUGUUUGAGUACCAAUGGCCGUUGGACGGUGGAGAGUGGUAUAUGCUCCAGGAACAGAUCAGUGAAUACCUCCAGAUCAAGUCUUUCAAGAGGAAAUAUCCAGACCUGUAUCGCCGAACAUGUGACAAGAAUGAGAAAGACUUUCUGCGAGAGCGGGGUGUAGUGAGUGAAACACAGUCUGACUUGGGUUUGACAGCUCUGAGGAGUGAGGAAGUGUAUGACUUAAUGCACAAAGAUUAUUCUGAGAAGUACCGAGAGUAUGCCCAUGUUCUGCAUGAGAAGGAGAGACAGACUAUCAACAACAAGCACAAAGAGUAUGAAGUGCCAAAACUAGACAAGGGCAAGAUGGGAGCGUACAUCAAGAAGGCAGUGAAGGCCGCAGCUGACUUCAAUGCUCAGUUCCAGCGGGAGAGGCGGGAGGAGAGGAGAGCAUACUUCGAUCUGCAGACUUUUAUGGUGCACUAUCCAGCUGGCAGAUACAAGAAGCUGCCUCCCGAGGCCACCAAGCCCGACGCAUACCCUGUUCCUCUCAUCCCUGGACAGUUCCAGGACUACUACUGCAAAUACACAGCUGAUGAGCUCCGCUACUUACCAAUAAAUACAGCUAAGUUCGACCCUCCCAAGAAAGUGUCCAAUACCCUGGUGAAGCCGUCAAGUGACCCUGACUCGUCCGAGGUGGAGGACAGUACUGAGGUAAUACACUGAGGAUAAAGUAGGGUCGGCCUCGGAAGCGGACAGUGACGGCGAUGCCAGCAGUGACUCGGAUGGGAGUGAGUCAGAAGCUGAAGAGACCAAGGAGGAACCGCUGGCUGAGCCGCUUCCUGAGGAG
RNAcentral lists this unclassified non-coding RNA (2229 nucleotides) under Haliotis rufescens (red abalone). RNAcentral's name for it is "pHD finger protein 10-like, transcript variant X1". Lineage: Eukaryota; Metazoa; Mollusca; Gastropoda; Lepetellida; Haliotidae. The record is from RNAcentral.